GCAACAAUGAAAAACGCAGCAAAAUGCGAUACGUAGUGUGAAUUGCAGAAUUCUGCAAAUCAUCGAGUCUUUGAACACAAGUUGCGCCCGAGGCUUGUCCAAGGGCAUUUUCGCUAGAGCGUCAG
This 125-nucleotide ribosomal RNA is filed under the name Orthotrichum bartramii. RNAcentral describes it as "partial 5.8S ribosomal RNA". It matches the Rfam family "5.8S ribosomal RNA", at positions 30 to 154 of the family's 154-position model. From Rfam's summary of the family: 5.8S ribosomal RNA (5.8S rRNA) is a component of the large subunit of the eukaryotic ribosome. It is transcribed by RNA polymerase I as part of the 45S precursor that also contains 18S and 28S rRNA. The record is from RNAcentral. Lineage: Eukaryota; Viridiplantae; Streptophyta; Bryopsida; Orthotrichales; Orthotrichaceae.